CUCAAGUGAUUUCUUCCUAAACCGGCUGCCCCCAAGGAUAUAACAAGUGGCGACGAUAGAUGGGAUUCCAGUGCUGUUCCAGUAACAAAAGGAAGUAGAAGUCAAGUAAUACAAGAACAAGAGGACUUUUAAUGAAGUUAACAGGCAGCACCAAUAAAGGGGAACAGUGUUUUUUGCACUGCACAGACAACCCAUGGAAUUCAAUGCACAGGGCAGCACCAGAGUUGAGCAGUGUAUGGAAAGAGGGAGUAGAGUAGAAGGAGGAUGAACAAUUUCUCUGGGAUUGGCUAUCAAGAAGCAGCCCCUCACAACCCACCUAUGGGUUGCACCCCAUCUAUUGAAAAGUCUUGCUUUAAAUGGAACAGAGGA
Long non-coding RNA from Mauremys reevesii (Reeves's turtle), 369 nucleotides. RefSeq lists it as uncharacterized. Lineage: Eukaryota; Metazoa; Chordata; Testudines; Geoemydidae. The record is from RefSeq and is a predicted model, not a curated record. The transcript has 4 exons.